AACGAACGCUGGCGGCAUGCCUAACACAUGCAAGUCGAACGAGAACUUCGGGCCUAGUGGUGAACGGGUGCGUAACGCGUGGGAAUCUGCCCUUAGGUUCGGAAUCACUCCCCGAAAGGGGUGCUAAUACCGGCUAAUAUCUUCGGACCACAGAUUUAUCGCCGUUGGAUGGGCCCGCGUUGGCUUAGCUAGUUGGUAGGGUAAAAGCCUACCAAGGCGACGAUCCAUAGCUGGUCAGAGAGGAUGAUCAGCCACACUGGGACUGAGACACGGCGCAGACUCCUACGGGAGGCAGCAGUGGGGAAUAUUGGACAAUGGGGUAAAGCCUGAGCCAGCAAGGCCGCGUGAGUGAUGAAGUCCGGAGGGUUGUAAAGCUCUUUUACCCGGGAUGAUAAUGACAGUACCGGAAGAAUAAGCUCCGGCUAACUCCGUG
This 433-nucleotide ribosomal RNA is filed under the name uncultured bacterium. RNAcentral's name for it is "partial 16S ribosomal RNA". It matches the Rfam family "Bacterial small subunit ribosomal RNA", at positions 29 to 507 of the family's 1533-position model. The record is from RNAcentral.